This is a long non-coding RNA of Poeciliopsis prolifica (blackstripe livebearer), 1091 nucleotides long. RefSeq lists it as uncharacterized. The record is from RefSeq and is a predicted model, not a curated record. NCBI's taxonomy places the organism in Eukaryota, Metazoa, Chordata, Actinopteri, Cyprinodontiformes, Poeciliidae. The transcript is spliced from 2 exons.
CACAAAACACACACAAUCCGAACAUGUGUGUUUACAAAGUAGGCUCCCCUCGUCUCGGUGUUUGCAGGAGCCAGAUGACUGAAACCCGCCGCACCUGAGCGCCUAUGUUUGACCGGGUCAUGUGCUUCUUCAGACGGGCCGCCGACGCCCGGCUGCGUCGAGCUGACCCGCUCAAACUCUUUCUGGUCCUGGGCCCUUCCCCGCAUGUUUCUACAGACCGACAGUCAGCUUGGGGGAAAGAUGCUAUUGCUAACGAGGAAAAAAAAAAAACGGUGUUUCGUUUAUCUGUGCUACCCGUAAAUCUGUCCUACAUCGAUGCUACGUCACAUACUGCUUACUCAGCAGAUUUUUUUAUAAAUACGUCCUACCUGGGGAAGUUUUGUUUCAUCAAAGAUUACGAACGUGCUGUACAGUUUGGGGACAUCACGUCAGCAUUUCACGCGCCACUUUUCGAGGCCUUCUACGCAAGCGAACAAACGCAAAUUUGAGCUGGCGCUCACCUUUGACGGCGUGGACCAUCUGAGCGUGGAGGGCGGCCGGGACGAUGGGCUGGGGCAGAUCCUGCAGGUAUCUGCGCAGGCCGUCGCACAGGGCGGGCAGCUCCAGCUGGUCCAGCUCGGCGGUGGGAGGAUCUGAAAUGCAACGGCUUGGUUUGUGAGAAAACCGCAAGCUCUUUGAGUCACCAAUGUCAUGCGUGUGCAAACACAAAACCCCUUUUAUUUUCUGAAACUUCCUCUGUGUGUGUACUGGUCUCGUUUUGCUGACUGGAAAGUUACAAGGUUCACACACACACACACUCAAGCUGAUUAGGACAUGGGGAGUGGAAAAAAAUACCCAAAAACAAAACAUUCUUACCACAAUCACAAUACUGCCUGACUUCGAGUCCACCUCCAGCGGUGAACGUUCGAUACAGAGUUGGGUUGUCCACACCUGUCAAAAGGAGAACACAGACGUCACCCCGUGUGGUUCUGCCGAACUGGUCACCGAUCGACAGAGUCAACUGGGUCGUGAGGAGGAAGGCGGGUUGUCAUGGCAGCCUCACCUUUCCUCUCGAUAGCUUCCAGGAGUCUGGUCAGCAAGGGCGGGGCGGU